This 440-nucleotide ribosomal RNA is filed under the name uncultured bacterium. RNAcentral describes it as "partial 16S ribosomal RNA". It matches the Rfam family "Bacterial small subunit ribosomal RNA", at positions 338 to 795 of the family's 1533-position model. The record is from RNAcentral.
CCUACGGGUGGCAGCAGUAGGGAAUAUUGCACAAUGGGGGAAACCCUGAAGCAGCAACGCCGCGGGGAGGAUGAAGGUUUUCGGAGUGUAAACUCCUUUUGGUAGAGAAGACAAUGACGGUACCUAACGAAUAAGCACCGGCUAACUCCGUGCCAGCAGCCGCGGUAAUACGGAGGGGGCAAGCGUUACUCGGAUUCACUGGGCGUAAAGGGCGCGUAGGCGGGAUAGCAAGUCAGAUGUGAAAUCCUAUGGCUUAACCGUAGAACUGCAUUUGAAACUGUUAGUCUAGAGUAUGGGAGAGGUAGGUGGAAUGCUUGGUGUAGGGGUGAAAUCCGUAGAGAUCAGGAGGAAUACUCAUUGCGAAGGCGGCCUGCUAGAACAUAACUGACGCUGAGGCGCGAAAGCGUGGGGAGCAAACAGGAUUAGAUACCCCUGUAGUC